This is a long non-coding RNA of Acyrthosiphon pisum (pea aphid), 1402 nucleotides long. RefSeq lists it as uncharacterized. The record is from RefSeq and is a predicted model, not a curated record. The transcript is spliced from 4 exons. NCBI's taxonomy places the organism in Eukaryota, Metazoa, Arthropoda, Insecta, Hemiptera, Aphididae.
UAUUACAAUAAUCACGCCACGACGCCCGUCACCCCACCUUAAAUCAGUCGGUGGGUUUGUAUAUAAAGGCGUCUGAGAUCUCGACUCCGGCAUAACGCAUCCUUUGUGCAUAUCUAUUCUUUGUUUUAACUUUCAUCCUCAAAAACCAACCAAAAACCAAAAAUGGGCGCAGAAAAAGUAUCCAUGAACAUCGUCGUCGUCGGACAAGUGCAAUCUGCCAAGGCGGUCAAAUCGAUCGCCAAAGCUACACCAGCGAUCAGCCAACUUAUGAACUGUUAAUUCAUCCAGUCCAUCACAUUGCAAAACUCAAAAAUGCCAUAGCCCAAACAAUACAAUAAUAAUAUGUACCUAAUUCAUAUUUCAUAUCAGUAUUGAAACCGCAAAAUAAAUCAGUCGUUUCCGAUAAACUUAACUGUUUUUUGUGUCAUUUUUUAUCUUUACCUGAUUCUUUGUCCAUAAUACAGACUCACGAUUUUUUAAUUAGGUGGCGAUGAAUAAUAAUAUAAUUGAUUUUAAAUUGAUUUAAUCGUUUUGUAUCAUAUUGUUAAUAUGCCGAUCGUCGUCUUGUGUAACAAAUAUCAGUCAUAACAUACUUGACAAUAUAUUUUAAUAUUAUCGGAGGUAGAUUAUAAUAAAGAUACAAAUAGUCUUUCAAAAAGGAUUAAUAGAAUUAAUGGAAAUAAUUUAAAAUGUGAUUAAAUAGUGAGCCCAACCAAAACAUUAAAGCCGCGUACACACUUGUAACAUAUUUUUCUGUUACGUCGUAACGCCGUAACACCGUUCCACAAGUUGUCGGUAAAUUUGGCCGCAUCAAAGGACGUUACGCGCAAAUGUUACAAGUGUGUACGCGGCUUAACAUUUACUAUUAAGUAGUGCAACUAUAAACUAUCGGUUGUUCGAUAUCAGAGUACCUAAUCAAUAUGAACUAAUAAUCGGUCAUUGGCCUUCCUAAACACUUGUUGAGUAUAACCUAACCCAUACCUAUUUAAUUAUAAAUUAAAACAAUAAUAUAACAGUAGAUAUAAUCAUAUUGGAUUAAUAUCCAGGUGUGUUUUAUUUAUUUAUUUUGGGCACGAACAUAAUUAUAUGUCCAAAUACAAAAUAUAAUCGAUGAGUAUUAAGAUUUAUUUUGCCAUUAAUUAAAAUAUUUGAAAUGUAUUGUGAUAGCAACAUAUAAAUUUAGAUAGCGAUUGUGAGUUAUUGUUGUAAUCCAGAAAUAACAUAAUUACAUCUAAAUACCUCCCACUUAAUUUUUGUAAUAGGUGGUUUCAUUCCAAGAUGACUCAAAAAGUCAAAAACCGCACGAAAAACGAUUUUCGGCGUUAGCGUUUUAUCUCGUGUUGGUCUGACGGAGAACAAAUAAUAAUGCGCCGACAUCCUCUUGGCGUGUUCACACGACGCG